Molecule: ribosomal RNA, 639 nt
Filed under: Triticum aestivum (bread wheat)
Lineage: Eukaryota; Viridiplantae; Streptophyta; Magnoliopsida; Poales; Poaceae
Description: partial small subunit ribosomal RNA
Source: RNAcentral
AUGCCCAUGUCAUGCGGUUUGUGCGGCGCAAGCGACUGCCCGCACCACAUGAUCUCGCCCGUUCUUCAGCAUCAGGAACAACACCGGCUGCGCGAGUACCAGUUCUUCACCCAAGGCCACCACCACCACCACCACGACGCGGCGGCGGACUACCCACCGCCACCGCCACCGUCAGCCAAUUGCCACCACUGCAGAUCAUGGACCACACCGUUUCAUGAAACAGCAGCUGCAGGGAACAGCAGCAGGCUCACGCUGGAGGUAGACGCAGGCGGCCAAAACAUGGCUCACCUGCUGCAGCCACCGGCACGGCCAAGAACCACCAUCGUGCCAUUCUGCGGGGCUGCAUUCACCAGCACUAUUAGCAAUGCAACGAUCAUGACUAUUGAUACAGAGAUGAUGGUGGGGGCUGCCCAUAAUCUGACGAUGCAGGAGAGAGAGGCGAAGGUGAUGAGGUACAGGGAGAAGAGGAAGAGGCGGUGCUAUGACAAGCAAAUCCGCUAUGAGUCCAGAAAAGCUUACGCCGAGCUCAGGCCACGGGUCAAUGGCCGCUUUGUCAAGGUACCAGAAGCCGCUGCAUCGUCGUCACCCCCAGCUUCGCCCUAUGAUCCUAGUAAACUUCACCUCGGAUGGUUCCGGUAG